UCUCCUCAAAUCAUCAAAACCCUGGCUUCUCUAUCUUCUGCUAAACCUACCACCAUAAUUGCCUCCCCAUCGUUACUCUUCAUCUUAGAGUUCCAUCUGACAUCCAACGUUACCUCGAAGUUAUGAAGGCAGAUCCGUCGAGUCGAGGGUUCGUAAGGUGAAUAUGUUGAAACAAGGUUUGGUGAUAAGGAAACAAGAAGAAUGAUGGCUAGAACCAGAAGCGGUAAUAGGAUGAAAAGCUAUACGUUUAACUCUUCAUUAUGAAGAAACCUAAAUGGGAAUGCCUCUUUAAGCACCAUAAGAGGAGUUCAGUUAAAGUGGAUAUCAUUAAACUUGAAUUGAGCUGCAAAUGGUACUAAUCAAAACCGAUUAUAUUGUUAUUAAUUUCUUAAUCUAAUUUCCAUGAAUAAUUUCCUUUUUCUAAUUCAGCUAAUAUCCAAUAUCUUUUCUUUGUUCUACUUUAAAUUUGUUUGAUGUAUCUAUGUAAUGCAUGCCCUACAAUACCACAUUGCAAGAACUACUUAGCAACCUAGGAAUUAAUCUUGAUCAAAGCACCGUAUCUAAUACUUUUUAUGUAAUAUUAAUAGUUAGAGUUUUACAAGGAAUGUAUAGGUAUUUUAAUACUCAA
This is a long non-coding RNA of Lactuca sativa (garden lettuce), 628 nucleotides long. RefSeq lists it as uncharacterized. The record is from RefSeq and is a predicted model, not a curated record. Lineage: Eukaryota; Viridiplantae; Streptophyta; Magnoliopsida; Asterales; Asteraceae.